CUUGAAUUUCACUCUUCCUCACAUGUACGAACCCUGGUGUAGUCAUGGUUCUACCAGGCUAUAUGGUGUAGUCAUGAUUCUACCAGGCGAUAUGGUACAGUCAUGGUCCUACCAGGCUAUAGAGCGUUUGCACUCAUUCCCCAGGGACCAACUCAACAAAACCAUGGCGGUUGAGAUUAGAGGUGUGCAAAUCCGAUUCGUUCGGAUUUCGGAACAAAAAUAUACAUUUCUGGUCGGAUUGAUAAAGUUGUUUCGCAGUCGGAUCGGAUCGGACUUCGAUAUUCGAAAUAAAAUCCGAAUCCGAUCCGAGUUGUAAUAAAGAAUUCCAAUCCGAUCCGAAGAAUCCUUUAACAAAAUAAAUUUCUCAUUCAAG
Non-coding RNA from Paramuricea clavata, 373 nucleotides. Lineage: Eukaryota; Metazoa; Cnidaria; Anthozoa; Malacalcyonacea; Plexauridae. The record is from the annotation of a GenBank genome assembly.